Molecule: ribosomal RNA, 406 nt
Filed under: uncultured bacterium
Lineage: Bacteria
Description: partial 16S ribosomal RNA
Rfam family: Bacterial small subunit ribosomal RNA
Source: RNAcentral
AUUGAACGCUGGCGGCAGGCCUAACACAUGCAAGUCGAACGAGUGGCGGACGGGUGAGUACUGUCUGGGAAACUUCCUGAUGGCGGGGGCUAACUACUGGAAACGGUAACUAAUACCGCCUACCAUCGGAUGUGCCCAUAUGAGAUUAGCUAGUAGGUGGGGUAAAGGCUCACCUAGGCGCCGAUCCCUAGCUGUUCUGAAAGGAGGACCAGCCACACUUGAACUGAGACACGGUCCAGACUCCAACGGGAGGCAGCAGUGGGGAAUAUUGCACGUUGGGCGCAAGCCUGCUGCAGCCAUGCCGGGUGUAUGAAGAAGGCCUGCGGGUUGUAAAGUACUUUCAGCGGGGAGGCGUUACCCGCAGAAGAAGCACCGGCUAACUCCGUGCCAGCAGCCGCGGUAAUAC